Non-coding RNA from Danio rerio (zebrafish), 407 nucleotides. The record is from Ensembl. NCBI's taxonomy places the organism in Eukaryota, Metazoa, Chordata, Actinopteri, Cypriniformes, Danionidae.
GUGUCGAGUUUCUUUGCUGCUGUCUUGCUUUUCCUGAACACUUCCUGGAUGUACAAGUGACUCAAACUCGCUCAUUUUGAGGCAGGAACCGGCGGACGUGCAACAACUUUAACUAUGAGGAUCAAGUGAGAGAAGCAGAUGGGUAAAAAGCAUAUUUGUGUUGGGUAGUUACUUCAGGUGAAAGUGAAAGAGUUGAUGGGGAGAAAUUGUGAUCACACAUCUACAGGUGAGCACACAGAAUCCCAGAGCUGUUUAAGACCAAUAUUCAGGAUUCAAGCUCAUGGUGUCCACCUGGGAGACAGAGAUGAGUAUUUCACUCACAUACUGUGCAUGUGAGCCCACAGAAGAGCCAACUUGAUAGACUCCAUUACCCAAAACUGCAGCAUGAUGUAGUGAUUGGCAAUUGA